CGGGUAUAGUUUUUAUAAUUUUUAGAAAGAAUUUAAUAUGUCAGGAUUGUAAAAUAGCAGCAUAAAAUUAAUACUAAAAAUUAGUAAUAUAGCUAUACCUUUUUU
RNAcentral lists this non-coding RNA (105 nucleotides) under Coscinodiscus granii. Lineage: Eukaryota; Bacillariophyta; Coscinodiscophyceae; Coscinodiscales; Coscinodiscaceae. The record is from RNAcentral.